CUACUUGUUGCUGUUUUGAGUUUCAGAAAGAAAGGCCAGUUCCUCAAAGAGAGACAGAAGCCUCUCUCUCUUUUUGCCUCUCUCUCUCCCCCUUCCUCUCUCUCUCUCCCUCAACCAUUUCACUCCUGUUGGAGUGCAAUUCACAAGUGAUAGAAAGUCUGCAGUGGCAGAUGUUCGCUGAUGGUUGUAUCUCUCACUAGACUUUAGCACUGGAGAGUGCAUGGGUGCAACGAACUCUUAAAAUAACUGGCAGAUAUUUGGAGAAAAGAUACAGUAGAAUGAGUAUGUAAAAGAUUUACGGGAUGUGACUGUACCUAGGCUUGGAAGUGAUUGUUUGAAUAGCUACUGUGCCUCUUCACUAUCAUUUUUAAAUGUUCCUAGAAGUGAGUUUAAAAUCAAUACUUUUACUAAAUGAAACAUUUUUUUUUUUCCUGCUGGAAGGAAAGUCAAAGGUUUUACUUUUUUUUUCUUUUUUUAACUUAAACACUGAGGUUAGUAAGGGUAUAGUGAGAAUAGUCACUGUAAAUAUUCUGCCGUUAAGUUUUAUCAUUCUGGUUCUGUACAGAGAAACCUUAACUUCCUAAGAGAAGUAUGUUGUGAAUACUAUUGUUAAGGGUUUGUGUAAGCUGAUGAGUCAUUAAAAGAAAAAUUUUGUACUUUUGUUGCCUGAGAAGAUGCAGAAUACGCAUAGGGACAGGUUCAGAGUUAAAAUAUUGCGGAAAAUAUUUGCAUAAAUUAUUUUCAUAUUUAAUUGUUAUUAGAUUACAUGAAGAGUAAGUUUCUUAUUUAGGACAAUUCAGUUUUAAUAAACUUGGUUAAUUUGGGGGAAAUGUCUAAGCAAUUAAUAUAUAACUUGUCAUUGAAAACUUGGCAUGAGAGAUGCUUUGUGGAAAACCUAAUUAAUUAAACUAAAUUAUUGCUUAUCAUUAGUAAUAUAUUAGAAGAGGGAGGAAAGUACAUGCGAGCUGUUUGACUAUGAUUCCCCUGUUUUGGAUUUAAGGAAUAAUUUUAAAAGGUGUUUUAAGAUUCUUACAAACUGUUUUAUUGUGAUUCUUCUCUCACCAUGACAUGGGUUCUUUUAUUUUUACAAUUACUCUGGGGCUUUUGUGUAAGAAAGGAUAUUGUAUCCUUAUUUGGCUUAAUCAGAUGAAGUUUUAGUAACCAAAUCCUGAAUUCCAAAGCUAUAGUAGUCAUGUAUCCCAGCAAUUGCUUCCUGACUUAUUGUCCGUUUCACUUAGAUUCUCUUAUUGUGUGACAAUGAUCAUAAAUUCUAUUUGACAGGGAAAAAACCCAAACAAGACGUAGUUGUCCAAUUCUACAUCUGUUUUCCUUCCUAGAUAGGCAUGUUUUAGUAAAACAGAGGGAGGAAAAACAUUUUAUUGAGACAGCUAAAAAUAAACAAGCACAAGAAAGAGUGAAUUCGUGUGUGCCUGUGUGUGUGUGUGUUUGCUGAAUAUCUUCAUAUAUGCAGUUUUUUUGAAUGAGGCAUCCUUAUAUAUGUUUUACUUCUUUAGAUUAUUUGCAUGUAAGUUCUUUCAAGGAGAAAAAUCAUGUAAGCAGUUGUAAGUUACAGUUAGUUGGCUAUAUUUAGGGUACUGUUGAUGACCGUUCACAUUUAAAAAUAAAUAACACUUGGGAUAUAUUAAAGAUUUCUCUUAUAAAGAGGACUAUUUCCUUAAUGGUCAUUGAUGAUGUAAAUUUCCUUUAGAACUAUUGAAAAAUGAAAUGAACGAAAAUAAUUUUUGGACUUUCCCUUCUAUUUUGUGCUGCUUAUUUAAAGCUCUCCAUAAGACUUAUUAUAACUUCUUUAUUAGCUAUUUAGGACUUCAGGGUAACGGGUAUGCACUAGACAUUAUUUUUUUCUAUAUUAUGUAAGUCUAAUUCUUUGAUCCCAUCAGAACCAGGCCAGAACAUUUGUAAAUUUAUUUAAGCAUGAAAGACAAUUAUGUAAGUAUUAAUUCAAAAACUAAUGGUUAGUCUUUAUGAGACUUGAAAUUCUCAUGGUUUUGUAAAUAUUAAUCAAAGAAAACAGGCAGACAGACAUUAAAACUUAACCACUUCUCACAUUAUCAAGGCACAAAGGUGAUUCUUGGUUGAACACCAAGAAUGUAAUAUACUUUUAAUUUUUCUUGAAAGAAACUACUUUCUGAAAAGUUGAUGUGUAAAAAUACUGUAACUUUACAUAAACUUAUCAUUUUGGUUUAAUACAAAAUUAAUAAUCAAUUCAUCACUCUUUUUUUAAAAAUCAAAUUCUGUUCUCAAUACAAAUUUUAAUUAAAUGACUUGACAACAAAUGUCAAAAUAGGUACAACAACUUUGAAGAGACUCUUUCAAAGCAUAUAUUUCUCUGAAGUCUUUGAGAAGUUGAGGUGAACUUAGGUUUACAAUUAAUUUAUUUCUAACUGAAAAUCCCAAAAUUAAUAUAUCUUCUUACAAAUGCUAGAAUUAUUAUAUGUUAGAGUCUGUAUUUUAUUUAACUUAACUAUAAGCAAAAAAGUUCUUAACCAGUCUAAUUUAUAUGCUAAAGUUAUAUAAGAAAAUUCCCACCUUGCCUAAUGACCACGUUCACACUCCUUUGUAACCUACCAGCCAUGAAAAGAUAUAUUUGAAAAUCAAAAUUCAUUAUUUAAUUUUGAAUUUUCUUUCUUUAGGUACGUAGUAGAAACUAAUACACACCAUACAGAUAAUAACUGUGUCACCUACUUGCCUGAAGAUAAUAUAUCCAUACAAUUAAUCUAUUUCCAGAAUUAGAAGCUAUGAAACUUCAGGAUGCAAGAGCAACCAAGGCUCUCUCUUUACAUUGGAAUCAAACCUGUGUCCCAAUGGUAGAAGCAGGGGAUACUCAUGAUAUUAGUAAAAACUUCUAAAGAAUUUGUUUCUUCGGUAGUGUUGCUAAACACGUAGAUAUUACAUUUGCACAUUUGUUACUCAUUGUCAAAAGUGCUUAAUACAUCUUUCCGGUACUCUAUCUCAGUAUCGUAGGCGAAUAUUAACAUUACCAUUACCUAAGCCAUCUCCUGUACGAUUAAUGAUGUGGCUAAAGACUAAGGGUUUAUUAAACAUCAGUUCCUGAGUCAAAAAACGACAGUGAUAUUACU
RNAcentral lists this long non-coding RNA (3098 nucleotides) under Sus scrofa (pig). Its description in RNAcentral is "lncRNA (ENSSSCG00000062422.1)". The record is from RNAcentral. Lineage: Eukaryota; Metazoa; Chordata; Mammalia; Artiodactyla; Suidae.